UCCGGUUUGACACCGGCAGUCUCGCUAGAGUACUGGCUUUCGCCGAGCAACUAACGAUAGGGGUUGCGCUCGUUAGAGGACUUAACCCGACACUUCACAGCACGAGCUGGCGACAGCCAUGCAGCACCUGUGAUCGUUCCACCCUUGCGGGUGUGGCCCCACUUUCAUGGGGUUAAUCCGACCAUGUCAAACCCAGGUAAGGUUCUUCGCGUUGCCUCGAAUUAAGCAACAUGCUCCACCGCUUGUGUGAGCCCCCGUCAAUUUCUUUGAGUUUUAGCCUUGCGACCGUACUCCCCAGGCGGCGCGCUUAUCGCUUUUGCUUCGACCGAUCCGGGGUCAAACCCGCACCGAUCUAGCGCGCAUCGUUUACGGCGUGGACUAC
Molecule: unclassified non-coding RNA, 382 nt
Filed under: uncultured Phycisphaeraceae bacterium
Lineage: Bacteria; Pseudomonadati; Planctomycetota; Phycisphaerae; Phycisphaerales; Phycisphaeraceae
Description: contains 16S-23S intergenic spacer region
Source: RNAcentral